Molecule: ribosomal RNA, 505 nt
Filed under: uncultured bacterium
Lineage: Bacteria
Description: partial 16S ribosomal RNA
Rfam family: Bacterial small subunit ribosomal RNA
Source: RNAcentral
GACGAACGCUGGCGGCGUGCCUAAUACAUGCAAGUAGAACGCACAGUUUAUACCCUAGCUUGCUACACCAUAGACUGUGAGUUGCGAAUGAGUGAUUAACGCGUAGGUAACCUGCCUGGUAGCGGGGGAUGACUCUUGGAAACGAUAGCUAAUACCGCAUAAUAUUAAUUAUUGCAUGAUAAUUAACUGAAAGGUUCAAUUGCACCACUACCAGAUGGACCUGCGUUGUAUUAGCUAGUAGGUGAGGUAACGGCUCACCUAAGCGACGAUGCAUAGCCGACCUGGGGGGGUGAACGGCCACACUGGGACUGAGAAACGGCCCAGGAUCCUACGGGAGGCAGCAGUAGGGAAUCUUUGGCAAUGGACGGAAGGCUGAACGGGCAACGCCGCGUGAGUGAAGAAGGGUCUCGGAUCGUAAAGCUCUGUUGUAAGGGAAGAAAGGGUGUGAGAGUGGAAAGUUCACACUGUGACGGUAUCUUACCAGAAAGGGACGGCUAACUACGUG